GUGCCAGCAGCCGCGGUAAUACGAACUGUGCGAACGUUAUUCGGAAUCACUGGGCUUAAAGGGUGCGUAGGCGGUUAUCUAAGUCAGGUGUGAAAUCUUCCGGCUCAACCGGAAAACUGCGCCUGAGACUGGAUGACUUGAGUGAGGUAGGGGUGUGUGGAACUUCCGGUGGAGCGGUGAAAUGUGUAGAGAUCGGAAGGAAUGCCAGCAGCGAAAGCGGCACACUGGGCCUUUUCUGACGCUGAGGCACGAAAGCUAGGGGAGUGAACGGGAUUAGAUACCCCGGUAAUCCUAGCCGUAAACACUGAACACUGGAGGACGGGGGCUUCGGCCUUCGUUCUCGUAGCGAAAGCGUUAAGUGUUCCGCCUGGGGAGUAUGGUCGCAAGGCUGAAAUUCAAAUGAAUUGACGG
Molecule: ribosomal RNA, 411 nt
Filed under: uncultured bacterium
Lineage: Bacteria
Description: bacterial SSU rRNA
Rfam family: Bacterial small subunit ribosomal RNA
Source: RNAcentral